UGGGGGAUAUUGCACAAUGGGCGAAAGCCUGAUGCAGCGACGCCGCGUGGGGGAUGAAGGCCUUCGGGUUGUAAACUUCUUUUGCUCUGAACAAGGCGCACCAUGGGGUGUGUUGAGUGUAGGGGUUGAUUAGCGCCGGCUAACUACGUGCCAGCAGCCGCGGUAAUACGUAGGGCGCGAGCGUUGUCCGGAAUUAUUGGGCGUAAAGGGCUUGUAGGUGGCUGGUUGCGUCUGUCGUGAAAGCUCAUGGCUUAAAUGUGGGUUUGCGGUGGGUACGGGCUGGCUUGAGAGCAGUAGGGGAGGCUGGAAUUCCUGGUGUAGCGGUGGAAUGCGCAGAUAUCAGGAGGAAUACCGGUGGCGAAGGCGGGUCUCUGGGCUGUUACUGACACUGAGGAGCGAAAGCAUGGGGAGCGAACAGG
This 419-nucleotide ribosomal RNA is filed under the name bacterium. Its description in RNAcentral is "partial 16S ribosomal RNA". It matches the Rfam family "Bacterial small subunit ribosomal RNA", at positions 355 to 776 of the family's 1533-position model. The record is from RNAcentral.